GCUCCGGUGGCUUAGUGGUUAAAGCGUCUGUCUCGGAUGCGGGAGGUCGUGGGUUCUAUCCACGGUCGAGUCA
Molecule: non-coding RNA, 73 nt
Organism: Potamilus streckersoni
Lineage: Eukaryota; Metazoa; Mollusca; Bivalvia; Unionida; Unionidae
Source: the annotation of a GenBank genome assembly